RNAcentral lists this ribosomal RNA (502 nucleotides) under uncultured Glomus. RNAcentral's name for it is "SSU rRNA". It matches the Rfam family "Eukaryotic small subunit ribosomal RNA", at positions 569 to 1074 of the family's 1831-position model. The record is from RNAcentral. Lineage: Eukaryota; Fungi; Glomeromycota; Glomeromycetes; Glomerales; Glomeraceae.
AGCAGCCGCGGUAAUUCCAGCUCCAAUAGCGUAUAUUAAAGUUGUUGCAGUUAAAAAGCUCGUAGUUGAAUUUCGGGGUUAGUAGGCUGGUCGUGCCAAUGGUAUGUACUGGCUUUACUGAUUCCUCCUUCUUGAAGAACUGUAAUGCCAUUAGUUUGGUGUUGCAGGGAAUCAGGACUGUUACUUUGAAAAGAUUAGAGUGUUUAAAGCAGGCUUACGCUUGAAUACAUUAGCAUGGAAUAAUGAAAUAGGACGUUGAUUCUAUUUUGUUGGUUUCUAGGAUUGACGUAAUGAUUAAUAGGGAUAGUUGGGGGCAUUAGUAUUCAAUUGUCAGAGGUGAAAUUCUUGGAUUUAUUGAAGACUAACUACUGCGAAAGCAUUUGCCAAGGAUGUUUUCAUUAAUCAAGAACGAAAGUUAGGGGAUCGAAGACGAUCAGAUACCGUCGUAGUCUUAACCAUAAACUAUGCCGACUAGGGAUCGGAUGAUGUUAAUUUUUAAUGA